CUUGGUCAUUUAGAGGAAGUAAAAGUCGUAACAAGGUUUCCGUAGGUGAACCUGCGGAAGGAUCAUUGCGUUCNNUAGCCUAGCUACUGUCAGUGGGGCUCGUUAGUCUGCAUAGCUUAAACGCUGAUGAGCAGCAGGCCCCCUGUCUUCACCCUUGUUUUUUGCGUACCCAUGUUUCCUCGGUGGGCUUGCCCGCCGGCUGGACAAAACUAUAACCUAUUUAAUUUUCAAUCAGCGUCUGAAAUAAUUUUAAUAAUUACAACUUUCAACAACGGAUCUCUUGGUUCUGGCAUCGAUGAAGAACGCAGCGAAAUGCGAUAAGUAGUGUGAAUUGCAGAAUUCAGUGAAUCAUCGAAUCUUUGAACGCACAUUGCGCCCCUUGGUAUUCCAUGGGGCAUGCCUGUUCGAGCGUCAUUUGUACCCUCAAGCUUUGCUUGGUGUUGGGUGUUUGUCCCGCCUCUGCGCGCGGACUCGCCCCAAAUUCAUUGGCAGCGGUCUUUGCCUCCUCUCGCGCAGCACAAUUGCGUCUGCGGGGGGGCGUGGCCCGCGUCCACGAAGCAACAUUACCGUCUUUGACCUCGGAUCAGGUAGGGAUACCCGCUGAACUUAAGCAUAUCAAUAAGCGGAGGA
Molecule: ribosomal RNA, 630 nt
Filed under: uncultured fungus
Lineage: Eukaryota; Fungi
Description: eukaryotic LSU rRNA
Rfam family: 5.8S ribosomal RNA (bases 261-414)
Source: RNAcentral